UGUCCUGUGAAGCUCCUGCUGCUCCGUGGUCAGUCUCACCGGGAAAGGUGUACUGAGGUUCCACCAACCACAACCCUCUCUUGUGUGCUAGAUACAGUAGGGAAUAUCUCCUCGCAGCCCACGAGCCAGUAGCCAGUGAGUGCGAGAGAGAUGGUAAUACAGUGAAUGGGAACGUGCAACACACUAGAGAAGUUAUCCUGUGUGUGUGUGUGGGUUCUGCGGUUUUCUCAGCUCAAGUCAACAAGAUCUAUUGAGCCGUAGACUACGACACGGAAGAGGAGCUCACUGGCCCUGUGUCGCAUUAAAAUCACUGUAAGAAGACAUCUACCUCUUUCUGUGAGUAAUGCUAAUUUGGAGAAAAUUGGACUGAGCGCAUUUGCCCUGAAAUUGCUGAAAAUGAAACCUUUGCCUUUGACACUUAUAUCAUUGACCAGCCAUCAAAUGACUUUAAUGAGGUAGAGGCAAAAAGUGGUUCAAUUAACAAUGGUGAGGAAGAGUAUGUAGAAGCUGAGACUCUGGAACAUAAAAUUGCAUCUCUUUUUUGAUGGUGAUGAAUGUUGAAAUUGGUUGUCAGAUGUACAUGUACACUAUUUUAAAUGCCUGUUUUAAAAGAAUGAUACUUGAAUGAUACAGUCAUGUGUUUCUUUAAUGUUUGUUGAAAAUAAACAUGGAAAUUGAA
This is a long non-coding RNA of Micropterus salmoides (largemouth bass), 679 nucleotides long. RefSeq lists it as uncharacterized. Lineage: Eukaryota; Metazoa; Chordata; Actinopteri; Centrarchiformes; Centrarchidae. The transcript is spliced from 3 exons. The record is from RefSeq and is a predicted model, not a curated record.